AUGGAUGGUGCUGUCCUCUUCAGAGGGCCUGGUCUGAUGUUUGAAGAGCCUGUCUACCCUGUCAAAUACACACUGCUGCAUUUACCAUGUUCCUGCAUCCAUCAUGUGAGGUCAUGUGCUGUCAUAGACGCUGUGGAUUCCUGUUACAUGUCAUCUGCCCAUCUGCACAGGAGAAGACCAGACGCUACUAACGAGGAACGGUAUGCCAGAGAUAUGCCCCAAUGGUGUGACAAUAAGAGGAGGUCACAGGGACGAGAGCUCCUGCAGGCUGAUCCUCCAUGGUGGGAGCAGUGUUGAUAAGGGCACACACUACAUGGAUAUUGUGUCAGAGAUUAAGGAGGGAUUAGUUUUGAGGUAAGUUUCAAUAAGUCCAUUAGUUGUCACGGUUAUUAUGGACCUGUGUGUCCACCAUGACACGGGAUCUUAUAUUUUGCACUUAUGUCAGUGUCCUCUCCUAGGUAGGAAUGAUGACUGGUAAAUGGUCUUGUCUGCACUUUGCUAUAGAGGAUGCCAUCUGAAGAUUGUCCAGAAUGCCAUUGUUCUUUGAUGUGGAGGGUACAAGUUUGUGAAGGUUAGUUACUGCAUGUUACUUGUUUUAAUCACGAUCUGUCCUCCUAUCCAUUGGUUGCUGAAUGCCAACCAUUCCCAGGGCAAAACUCAGUCACAUGCCCCCAUUGUGUAAUCAAACAUCUACCAUUUGAAAUGCCCACACGGCUGGCCUUUCACCCCACCCUCAUUUUCCAUGGAGGCCCGGCUCGGGUAACCCUAUCCCCAGACAAGCACCCUGGCUCUCUUCCCUCCGUGUGAAGUCCGGACACUCCUGCUCUGGCUGUGGACUGGACAGCUGCUGGCCCUGUUUACUGCUGUGGCCCUUCACGGGUUAGCAUUCUUCAUACCUGAUCACUGUCAGCAGCUACAGCCCCUCACUGUGGCCCGUGUCUCCAAAGGGAGCACACAAAGCACUAUUCUAAACAUACUAAGCACAUAAAACUAUUGAUCCCCCUUUGGAACAUAUUUGGCUUUGUGAAGCGGGAAGCCUUUUAACAUUGGUUUGCUUUCGGUCAUAGGAAACUAUUAGGGGAGCGGUGUUAAUGGGGUGAUAUUUACGGUCAGUAUGUUCCCAGGGUCAAAUGUUCUGCUCCAUUAUACAGUGCCUUGCAAAAGUAUUCAUCCCCCUUGAUGUUUUUCCUAUUUUGUUGCAUUACAACCUGCAAUUUAAAUGGAUUUUUAUUUGGGUUUCAUGUAAUAGAUAUACACAAAAUAGUCAAAAUUGGUGAAGUGAAAUGAAAAAAAUUACUUGUUUCAAAAAAUUCUCAAAAAACAACAACUGAAAAGUGGUGCGUGUAUAUGUAUUCACCCCCUUUGCUAUGAAACCACCUGUGUGAAAUCUAUGUGUCACAUGAGUAUAUAUACACCUGUUCUGAAAGGCCCCAGCGUCUGCAACACCACAAAGCAAGGGGAACCACCAAGCAAGCAGCACCAUGAAGACCAAGGAGCUCUUCAAGCAGGACAGGGACAAAGUUGUUGUCACACCCUGACCAUAGUUUGCUUUGUAUGUUUCUAUGUUUUGGUUGGUCAGGGUGUGAUCUGAGUGGGCAUUCUAUGUUGGAUGUCUUGUUUGUCUAUUUCUAUGUCUGGCCUGAUAUGGUUCUCAAUCAGAGGCAGGUGUUAGUCAUUGUGUCUGAUUGGGAACCAUAUUUAGGUAGCCUGGGUUUCACUGUGUGUUUGUGGGUGAUUGUUCCUGUCUCUGUGUUUGCACCAGAUAGGGCUGUUUAGGUUUUCGCACGUUUAUUGUUUUAUUAGUUAUUUCAUGUGUAGUGUCUUUAUAAAUUAAAGAACAUGAAUAACCACCACGCUACAUUUUGGUCCGCUUCUCCUUCACAACAGGAAAACCGUUACAGUUGUGGAGAAGUACAGAUCAGGGUUGGGUUAUAAAAAAAUAUCAGAAACUUUGAACACCCCACGGAGCACCGUUAAAUCCAUUAUAAAAAAAUGGAAAGAAUAUGGCACCACAACAAACCUGCCAAGAGAGGGCCGUCCACCAAAACUCACGGACCAGGCAAGGAGGGCAUUAAUCAGAGAGGCAACAAAGAGACCUAAGAUAAUCCUGAAAGAGCUGCAAAGCUCCACAGCAGAGAUUGGAGUAUCUGUCCAUAGGACCACUUUAAGCCGUACACUCCACAGAGCUGGGCUUUAUGGAAGAGUGGCCAGAAAAAAAGCCAUUGCUUAAAGAAAAAAAUAAGCAAGCACAUUUGGUGUUCGCCAAAAGGCAUGUGGGAGACUCCCCAAACAUAUGGAAGAAGGUACUCUGGUCAGAUGAGACUAAAAUUGAGCUUUUUGGCCAUCAAGGAAAAUGCCCUGUCUGGCGCAAACCCAACAACUCUCAUCACCCAGAGAA
Molecule: long non-coding RNA, 2398 nt
Organism: Oncorhynchus mykiss (rainbow trout)
Lineage: Eukaryota; Metazoa; Chordata; Actinopteri; Salmoniformes; Salmonidae
Source: Ensembl